UACGGGGGGAGCAAGCGUUGUUCGGAUUUACUGGGCGUAAAGGGCGCGUAGGCGGCCAGCACAAUUCAGUUGUGAAAUCUCCGAGCUUAACUCGGAAAGGUCAACUGAUACUGUGCGGCUAGAGUGCGGAAGGGGCAACUGGAAUUCUUGGUGUAGCGGUGAAAUGCGUAGAUAUCAAGAGGAACACCUGCGGCGAAGGCGGGUUGCUGGGCCGACGCUGACGCUGAUGCGCGAAAGCCAGGGGAGCGAACGGG
Molecule: ribosomal RNA, 254 nt
Filed under: uncultured bacterium
Lineage: Bacteria
Description: partial 16S ribosomal RNA
Rfam family: Bacterial small subunit ribosomal RNA
Source: RNAcentral